Small nuclear RNA from Gorilla gorilla gorilla (western lowland gorilla), 104 nucleotides. The record is from Ensembl. Lineage: Eukaryota; Metazoa; Chordata; Mammalia; Primates; Hominidae.
GCUUGCUUCAGCAGCACAUACUAAAAUUGGAAUUAUACAGAGAAGAUCAGCAUAGCCCCUGUACAAGAAUGACGCAUAGAAUUAGUGAAGUGUUUCAUAUUUUU